Cordylochernes scorpioides is the source of this 72-nucleotide non-coding RNA. The record is from the annotation of a GenBank genome assembly. Lineage: Eukaryota; Metazoa; Arthropoda; Arachnida; Pseudoscorpiones; Chernetidae.
UGCCACGUGGUCUAGUGGCUAGUAUACCUGGCCUUCACCCAGGAGGCCCGUGUUCGAUUCCCGGUGUGAGAA